CUUACCUUGUAUGAUCUCAUUUAAUCUUCACAACAAAUUUAAGAUUGUAAGUACUAUUGAGACUCUAAUCCUACCACUAUUACACAUCCUGCCAUGAGAAAUGGCCCUCAAGAAUCAUUAGGGACAACAAAAACAUAAGGGGUAAAAUGAAAACUAUAAAACAUUUCCUGGCGCCGCUGUAAGGAAUGCUACAUCACCUUUGGGCUGCAACGCUUUCUCAGCGAGUCUGGUGGGUGGGAUCCCGGUUGGUCCAGAAGAGGCCCCUUCUCUGGGCAUCUUAGGAGUCUGCGGAAGCCCCGCCCAGCGCACUGCCGGGCUUCCUUCCCCAUCCCCCACAAGCCCUUGCGGCCGCCGUGGCACCACCGGACAAAAUGGCGGGAGCGGGUGGCAGCGACGGCCAAGCCCUGGCUCCCAGGAUAUUGAUCACAGAAAUGAGUGAUGAGUUAAGAAGCAAGCAAGAAAUUGUGAAUGGAUUGAAUAUAUUUUUGGAAGAAAAUGAGACUUAAUAUGAGAAUUAAGAAGUUUGGUAUAAUUACAAAUGAAGAAUUCAGAAAACCACCAGAAAAUUCUUGGCCAAGAAGUCAAUAUCGACAUGGAAACGAAAAGAAAGAGAUUGGAAUGCUUUGGACUUCUUUGAUAUCCUACGUUAACAUUUCCUCUCUAAGUUUUAUAUAUUAAAGUAAAUAUAAUAACCAAAUUAAAAUAUUUCAGU
Long non-coding RNA from Acinonyx jubatus (cheetah), 712 nucleotides. RefSeq lists it as uncharacterized. The record is from RefSeq and is a predicted model, not a curated record. Lineage: Eukaryota; Metazoa; Chordata; Mammalia; Carnivora; Felidae. The transcript is spliced from 5 exons.